GAUGAACGCUGGCGGCGUGCUUAACACAUGCAAGUCGAACGAUGAAGCCCAGCUUGCUGGGUGGAUUAGUGGCGAACGGGUGAGUAACACGUGAGUAACCUGCCCUUAACUCUGGGAUAAGCCUGGGAAACUGGGUCUACUACCGGAUAGGAGCGUCCACCGCAUGGUGGGUGUUGGAAAGAUUUAUCGGUUUUGGAUGGACUCGCGGCCUAUCAGCUUGUUGGUGAGGUAAUGGCUCACCAAGGCGACGACGGGUAGCCGGCCUGAGAGGGUGACCGGCCACACUGGGACUGAGACACGGCCCAGACUCCUACGGGAGGCAGCAGUGGGGAAUAUUGCACAAUGGGCGCAAGCCUGAUGCAGCGACGCCGCGUGAGGGAUGACGGCCUUCGGGUUGUAAACCUCUUUCAGUAGGGAAGAAGCGAAAGUGACGGUACCUGCAGAAGAAGCACCGGCUAACUACGUG
RNAcentral lists this ribosomal RNA (466 nucleotides) under uncultured bacterium. RNAcentral's name for it is "partial 16S ribosomal RNA". It matches the Rfam family "Bacterial small subunit ribosomal RNA", at positions 28 to 507 of the family's 1533-position model. The record is from RNAcentral.